Molecule: ribosomal RNA, 458 nt
Filed under: uncultured bacterium
Lineage: Bacteria
Description: partial 16S ribosomal RNA
Rfam family: Bacterial small subunit ribosomal RNA
Source: RNAcentral
CCUACGGGAGGCAGCAGUGAGGAAUAUUGGUCAAUGGGCGAGAGCCUGAACCAGCCAAGUCGCGUGAGGGAGUACUGCCCUAUGGGUUGUAAACCUCUUUUGUCGGGGAGCAAAAGCCGGACGUGUCCGGCUGUGAGAGUACCCGAAGAAAAAGCAUCGGCUAACUCCGUGCCAGCAGCCGCGGUAAUACGGAGGAUUCGAGCGUUAUCCGGAUUUAUUGGGUUUAAAGGGUGCGCAGGCGGAUUUUUAAGUCAGCGGUAAAAUCGUGGGGCUCAACCCCAUCCAGCCGUUGAAACUGGGGAUCUAGAGUGUGCGAGAGGUAUGCGGAAUGCGUGGUGUAGCGGUGAAAUGCAUAGAUAUCACGCAGAACCCCGAUUGCGAAGGCAGCAUACCGGUGCACAACUGACGCUCAGGCACGAAAGCGUGGGUAUCGAACAGGAUUAGAUACCCGAGUAGUC